AGUUGUGUUUGUAUAUGGUUAUACACUUUGAUUGCAAAUCUUAAGUAAGGGGUUCGAUUCCUCCAUAACUC
Molecule: transfer RNA, 71 nt
Filed under: Sarocladium implicatum
Lineage: Eukaryota; Fungi; Ascomycota; Sordariomycetes; Hypocreales; Sarocladiaceae
Description: tRNA-Cys
Rfam family: tRNA
About the family: Transfer RNA (tRNA) molecules are approximately 80 nucleotides in length. Their secondary structure includes four short double-helical elements and three loops (D, anti-codon, and T loops). Further hydrogen bonds mediate the characteristic L-shaped molecular structure. tRNAs have two regions of fundamental functional importance: the anti-codon, which is responsible for specific mRNA codon recognition, and the 3' end, to which the tRNAs corresponding amino acid is attached (by aminoacyl-tRNA synthetases). tRNAs cope with the degeneracy of the genetic code in two manners: having more than one tRNA (with a specific anti-codon) for a particular amino acid; and 'wobble' base-pairing, i.e. permitting non-standard base-pairing at the 3rd anti-codon position.
Source: RNAcentral